RNAcentral lists this ribosomal RNA (446 nucleotides) under uncultured bacterium. Its description in RNAcentral is "bacterial SSU rRNA". It matches the Rfam family "Bacterial small subunit ribosomal RNA", at positions 331 to 793 of the family's 1533-position model. The record is from RNAcentral.
CCAGACUCCUACGGGAGGCAGCAGUGGGGAAUAUUGCGCAAUGGGCGAAAGCCUGACGCAGCGACGCCGCGUGGAGGAAGAAGGUCUUCGGAUUGUAAACUCCUGUCCUUGGGGACGAUAAUGACGGUACCCAAGGAGGAAGCACCGGCUAACUACGUGCCAGCAGCCGCGGUAAAACGUAGGGUGCAAGCGUUGUCCGGAAUUACUGGGUGUAAAGGGAGCGCAGGCGGAUUGACAAGUUGGGAGUGAAAACUACGGGCUCAACCCGUAACCUGCUUUCAAAACUGUCAGUCUUGAGUGGUGUAGAGGUAGGCGGAAUUCCCGGUGUAGCGGUGGAAUGCGUAGAUAUUAGGAGGAACACCGGUGGCGAAGGCGGCCUGCUGGACUGCAACUGACGUUGAGGCCCGAAAGCGUGGGGAGCAAACAGGAUUAGAUACCCCCGUACG